This is a long non-coding RNA of Sander lucioperca (pikeperch), 1076 nucleotides long. RefSeq lists it as uncharacterized. The record is from RefSeq and is a predicted model, not a curated record. The transcript is spliced from 2 exons. Lineage: Eukaryota; Metazoa; Chordata; Actinopteri; Perciformes; Percidae.
UUAAACAUUCAGAGGUUAUAUAUAUGAAAACAGUCUCACAAUACAGUCACAGUAAAUAAUAAAUACUAAGGUUUAUUUCACAUUAUAGAAAACAAUAGUUACUUUUUAUGUUCAAGAACAAAGUGCUUCAGAAGUGUUCAGCAGAAGAAUAAGAAGAUUGUCCACCUGUCCACCAGGUGUCCUCAGACUCUCCUCAUCCUGAUCACCUGGGUCUCAUUUCCCAAUCACCCUGUCAGCACAUAUACCAGACCUGGUCCUGGUUGGUCCAUGUUGUGUCGGGACUUAAAAAGCACCAAUACCACACUGUGAAAACACUCCACUACAAGUCAAAGUCCUGCAUUCUUACUUAAGUUAAAUUUGGACCCAGAACGUAAGAAGUGAAGCUGCCAAAUGUCUCCUAACAUCUGGAUCAGUUCUGGAUCUGACUUGUUCUGCUGGAGGAGACAUGAGACUAAAGGAAGUUCAAACAAAGCAACGCCACAAACAGAAGGUAAUAUAGAAACAUUGCUGCUGGACAUCUUACAGCUGCAUCUACUAGAAAUAUCACAGCAGAGACUAUGAGAACUUUGCAGCUCUGAGAGAAGUUUGAACUUUGUUCCAAUGAUGUGAUCUGACUUUUGGGCCUCCUGGUGUGUGUUCUGCAGCUGCAUGAAGACAGAAAACCAGUGUUUGUGUCUGAUAUCAGGUGCAUCAACUCAGUAGUGUUGGACCAGCUCAUAAAACACAUUUAUACCAAUUCAGCAAAUGUAGAACUGAGACUAAAUAAACCGGUAAAUAUCUGUCUGACAUCAGAUGGUUUUAACAGCAGUCAUAUAACAGAAGUUACUCAGCUUGGCCAGAUGGUGGCGCUGUAGAACAACUUAUUUUCCAAAAGCUGCUGAAGUUUUACUAAGAAACAAAGUUCCAUAGAUUACUGAGAUCAAGUGACAUUUAAUAUAAAAUGAUCCAUUUAGGGCUUCAUGUCAUGUUAAAUUAAGUCUCUGCUGCCUUAGUUUUUAUGGUGUGUCUCCAAAAUGUACAAAACAAUAUUUUCCUUUUAAUAAACAUAAGUGAACUUUUUGACCUGAUGAAUGAAA